This 288-nucleotide ribosomal RNA is filed under the name uncultured bacterium. RNAcentral's name for it is "partial 16S ribosomal RNA". It matches the Rfam family "Bacterial small subunit ribosomal RNA", at positions 333 to 632 of the family's 1533-position model. The record is from RNAcentral.
UUACCCCUACGGGAGGCAGCAGUCGAGAAUCAUUCACAAUGGGGGAAACCCUGAUGGUGCGACGCCGCGUGGGGGAAUGAAGGUCUUCGGAUUGUAAACCCCUGUCAUGUGGGAGCAAAUUAAAAAGAUAGUACCACAAGAGGAAGAGACCGCUAACUCUGUGCCAGCAGCCGCGGUAAUACAGAGGUCUCAAGCGUUGUUCGGAAUCACUGGGCGUAAAGCGUGCGUAGGCUGUUUCGUAAGUCGUGUGUGAAAGGCGCGGGCUCAACCCUCGGACGCCACAUGAUA